UUUAGGAAUCAAACCUUGAUAAUUCAGUCUUCAGUAUAAAUAUAAACACCAUGUAUAAAGAAAUAACUAACUGUGGUAUAAUUUCAUAUAAAUUGAAAGAAUAUAGUGGACCAUGCCCUUUCCCAGCUUCCAUAGCUUAAGACCCAGGUGUCGGAUGUGAAUUCUUAAAAAUGUGCCUUUUGUUCUUCUGAAAUAAGUUACUCUGAAUGCUUUCCAUGAUAUUGAUUGACUGCACAUUUAUUUACAACCAGGAGGACAAGUAUUUAAUAAAUUAUCAAAAAAUCAGCAUGUGGCGUGUACCUCGCAACGUUUGUAUUUUCAUUUUUCUUUCAGGUAGUGCUACUGUUAAGGAAUCCAGGCCCAGUAAUGCCAGAAUUGCAAACAAUCAAUGGAUUUCUUGUGCACUCUUGUUUCUGAAAUAAGUUCCAUUGAAAGGCCAGAUAUUGGAGGUACUUUUAAUUCAAGGGCAAACUAUGAAUGCCAGUGUUCAUUACCUUCAACACAAUGACGUGUUUACAAUAGGGCAAAGAAAAUUCAAAUGGAAAUACCCACACAAGAAAGAUACUGAAAAUGUUGAACAUACUGGAGAGGUUAUGCAUGUUUCAGAUGAAAAUGAUAAAGUUGAAAAAACACCACCAAAUGAAGUCCAAGAGUUGGUCAGUGACAAAGAAUUGGCAACAUGUGAUGAAAUUGACUUUGUAAAUGCUGUAAAUACAAUGGGACUAAGUAAUUAUUAUACAGAUACUGAAGAUGUUGAACAUACUGGAGAGAGCAUGGGUUUUUUCCAAAGAAAAUAAUAGUGGUGAGCCAACAGCACCAAAUGAAGUCCAAGAGUCGGUCAGUGACAAAGAAGGGACAACAUGUGAUGAAACUGACCCUGUAGAAACUGUAAAUACAAUGGGACUAAGUAAUUAUUAUACAGAUACUGAAGAUGUUGAACAUACUGGAGAGAGCAUGGAUGUUUCAGAUGAAAAUGAUAAAGUGAAGAAACGCCACCAAAUGAAGUCUGAGAGUUGGUCAGUGACAAUGGAGAAGGGUCAGAAUUUAACUCAUUUGACAGACCAUACAGUUGGGUGAAUUCUACAGAAAGGAUGAC
Molecule: RNA transcript, 1096 nt
Organism: Mercenaria mercenaria
Lineage: Eukaryota; Metazoa; Mollusca; Bivalvia; Venerida; Veneridae
Exons: 3
Source: RefSeq, a predicted model, not a curated record